Anastrepha ludens (Mexican fruit fly) is the source of this 2371-nucleotide long non-coding RNA. RefSeq lists it as uncharacterized. The transcript has 3 exons. Lineage: Eukaryota; Metazoa; Arthropoda; Insecta; Diptera; Tephritidae. The record is from RefSeq and is a predicted model, not a curated record.
UAUAUGAUAAUAAAAUUCAACUUAAAAAAUUAACUAAAUUUAAUAAGUUCAAGUGAAUGUAGAAUUAUUAGACAUAAAGUGUUUUUAAAUUAAAGAGCACGGUAAUUGUAGCUCUUUUUCUUCAACAUUUUUAUUUAUUUGUGUGUACUCUUUAAAAAAAUUUUCUCAAGCCGGUCGGUCAGUGCUUUUGUUAUUCAACAGCCAGAAUUUGUGUGUGCACCUACAUGGCGUAUACGUCACAAAAACGAAUUCACUUGCGGCCGCUGGCGUUUCUUCAAAAGUUGAAUGUAAAUAUGGCAUAUACAGAAAGCAAUUAAAAUCGUACAACAACAAGAGUCAGCAAAAUCGUGCGACUACAUAGUUCUUGUUUUGCCAUUCCCCUUUCAAAAAAUAUUUCAUUUCUCCAGUCGUAAAAUAGGUCUAAUAAAAGCAAACGGUUGAUAGAGGCUAUCAUAAAGCUGAAACUACAAUAAAUCGUGUGCCUAAAAAAGGAACACAAUUUUAAAGACCACCAGGAGAAUUGUUUCUUCACAUCUCUUUGACAUUUACUCAAACUAUUGCACUCCUCCUAGGCGAGCCAUAUCUCAAGUGUUAGUGACGCUUUUGUGUUGCAAAAACAACGAACGAAGCUGCAAAAGAUACACAUAGAUAGUUUUUGACCUCGUUAUUUGCGUUAUGCGUUAGCAGCCAGCUGGUAGAGUGCUGCAUAGCCGACUAGGAUACAAAUUCAGGCUCAACCUCUUGCAAGAAGUCGUACAACGACUGCAAAAACCCAUUUCUACAGCACAAAUAUUAUACUAUAUGCAGAGAAGAAGUUGAUUGUAAGUGAAAUAGUAAAAAUAGGGGUAAAACAUAACGGUUAUAAGCACAUUAGAAAAAAGUAAAAGAAAAGAGCACUUGUAGACAAAAAAUGCAUACCAUUUUCUAUAGUUGAGUUUAGUUCGGCACACUUCAGUAUAGUUGAUGUGGAUGCAAUGCUGCCGGGGCCACUAAGGCGACAUUGUACUCGUCUGGUCUUUCACCCGAACCCAAAUAAUAACCGAACAGCUGUUUACAUAAGCACUUUAAGCUACCUCUCACUACUUGACUGACUGACUAAAGGAGCGAUUGACUGCUUGUGCGACGUUUGUCUACAACCAGCGCAUUUAGUUAUCUUCAACUUCCUUUGCUUAUGUACAGUUAUGAAUUUAUAUAUAUGGUUUUCUACUACAGUUGUGUGUAAACAUCGCGCUGGCUUCAGUAUUCAACAAUAAAUCAACAAGAAACUAAAGCGAGAAAUUUUAAAGUGGAAAACAAAUACCUAAGUGGAAGUGCAAGUGGAUGUGAGAAGUGGUAACAUUUGAUAAUACAACUGUAAAUAUGCAGCUAUUCGACGUGCACGUACACGUAUUUUCGAGUGUGUGUGAAUGAUUUGCAAACGCAUUUAGAACGACAAGUGCGAGUGUUGAGUAUUGAGUAUUUGUAUGCUUAAUGCCGAAAAAGUGUGUUUUUGGCUAUAGUUUAACAUAAAGUGAAUUUAAAAUUAUUUAUUAGAAUAAAGUUGAAGAAUUAAUACGAGAAAUCAACAAAAAGCUGCAAAACAGUUAACUACAAAAUUUAGUAAAAAUUUACAAUUUAAUUUCGGCUGCCAGUGAGCAAAUUAAUUAACUUCAGGUUGUCGCGAAUCAACUGCAUCGAAUUGGCCAAUCAAUUGAACAACAACGUUAUCGGCGUGGCAAUGCGCGAGAAGAAGGGCGGCGCAUUGCAAAAGCUCAAAAAGAGGCUAUCGCAUAGUUUUGGCAGAUUAAGUAAGUUGUUCAGCGGAAGUCUAGUUAAACAAAGUGCACUAAUGCUAAAUAUUUUGAGAAUUAUGAUAAUAUAUGGUGCGGAGAAGGGUAAGAUAAAGCAUAGUAAACUGAAAAAUGAAGAGAUUGCUUCACUGGCGUAAAAUCUCAUGAUGGUAUUGCAUUAUUGAACUGCCCUAUGACCCUUAUUGAAUGUAGAAAUCAGCAAAUGCGGCGAAACAGCUAAAAUUUUUCAAAAAUGUAAAAAAAAAAUAAAUUUAAUAUAUGCAUAUAUAUAUACACAUGGUAGAAAAAGUCUGCGUUCACCCACUGUUAUAAAGUAUUAAAAUAAUUUAACGUGUUUAUCUUAAAACUCUCAGUUAUUUCUUUUCACUUAUUUCAAAGAAAAUUAUUCAUAGAGGUUAUGAACAAAAUUUUUUGGAGUUUGAGCUGCGUCGUGUUCAGAUAACGGGAUUGUAGUACAGUUACUUAAAUAGGCUAAGCAGAAAAAGUGUGCGUUCAUUUCGAAUAGUGACGAUUAUUUGCAUGGCAAUUACGUUAAAUUAAAUUUUAAAUCAUUCAUGUAGUUGACGCGGUUAAGAACAAAU